RNAcentral lists this ribosomal RNA (322 nucleotides) under uncultured bacterium. RNAcentral describes it as "bacterial SSU rRNA". It matches the Rfam family "Bacterial small subunit ribosomal RNA", at positions 28 to 334 of the family's 1533-position model. The record is from RNAcentral.
GAUGAACGCUGGCGGCGUGCCUAACACAUGCAAGUCGAACGGAGUUACUUGUUUAGAUCUCUUCGGAGUGACGAACUUUUAACUUAGUGGCGGACGGGUGAGUAACACGUGAGCAACCUGCCUUUCAGAGGGGGACAACGGCUGGAAACGGUCGCUAAUACCGCAUAUGAGGUGAGUUGAAAUACUUAUCUUGAAAACUCCGGUGCUCAAGGAUGAGUCUGCAUCUGAUUAGCUAGUUGGUGGUGUAAUGGACCACCAAGGCGAUGAUCAGUAGCUGGUUUGAGAGGAUGAUCAGCCACAAUGGGACUGAGACACGGCCCAU